Equus caballus (horse) is the source of this 2265-nucleotide long non-coding RNA. The record is from Ensembl. NCBI's taxonomy places the organism in Eukaryota, Metazoa, Chordata, Mammalia, Perissodactyla, Equidae.
CGGGUGCCUGUGCUGGGACUGCGGGACGGCCCCCAAGGGCCCCCGCUUCUGUGGGGUUCGCCGAGAGCAUUCCGCCUGUGGCCAGGCUUUGAAGCCGCUUUAGGAAGGAUAAAGCCUUAAUCUAAACUUAAAGUAUUGUUACCCUCGCCUGACUUAAAUUUUAUCUGGAAACUCAGCUCAGUGUGUUUGUGAUGAAAAAAAAGAAAGGACUUUGGAAUCAGAUCCAAAAUUUAAUAAGCAUAGCAUUUGCUGAGUGCUCACUAAGUGCUAGGGACGCGGCUAAGUCCUUUACAUGCACUGUCAUAACCAUAAUGCUAAGAUAGCAUUGCCGGAUAAAAUACAGAAAUGCCCAGUUAAAUCCGAAUUUCAGAUAAAUGUAGAAAAUUUUUAAUAUAAGAAUGCUCCAUUUGAGAUGUACUUCCUCUUUGUUUUAUUUUUGUUUUGUUUUAGUUGUUGUUUUUUGCUAAAUCUGCCGACCUUAUCCUAACUCUUACGAAUUCCUACUUUACAGAUAAGGAAACUGAGGCGUAGAAAAAUAACUUAUGAAAUAUAAGGUAAGUGGCAGAACUAUCAUUAUGAUCCUGAUAAUUAAAUCUCUGAAUAUCUGUAUCUACAUCUUCCAAAAAUAGAAUAGUGAUACCUAUCUCACAAAUGUGUUGAAUGAAUUAGAAGAAAAUGUAUAUGAAAGAGACCUGAACAGUGACUGAUUAGCAUUGUAGGUGCUAACAGAAGUUCACUUCCUUCCUGAACAAUUAAUGUUAACUGGAUAUUCACUAAGUGCCAGGCUCUGAGUAUAAAGUGAGCUGAGCAGGCUGCCUGCUGAUAAUAAAGUCAAGCUGUGGGGAUGACAGAGAGAUACAAGAAUUAUAGGCAUCAGAAUAUGUAAAAACAAAAAUGAAAGUGUUCGACCCUCAUUCUACAGAUGAAAACGCGUUUAUAUGAUAUGUCCAAAGUCAUCUGCUGGUUCCAUUUGUUUUUCAUUGCACUGUCCUGAAGGGCCUCAUAGCUGCAUUCAGAGUAAAAGACCAUAAGGAGAAUGCACAAUAUGCUUCAAUUGAAGCAAGAGUUGCUUCAUUUUCUCCCUUCAAAGCAAUCACUGUUGCCCCCCCAUGUGGAUGAAUUGAAGGAAGUUCCUGGAGGAAGAGUGUAGCAGAAAGGGAGCAGAGGAAAGAAGGAAGGGAAGAUGGACAGAAAGUGGCUUCUGGAGAGCUACAGCUUCCUCAGACCCCAGUCUUGUUUCAUCUCUGCUGGCCGUUGUCAUGGUGGCCAACAACGUGGCCAAACAGACCUCCACAACUCUAGAAGAAUCGCAGAAUAUGAGAGCUGAAAGUUCUGUAUACUUUAUAGAUAUAUCAUCUAGGAGCCCAAUCUAUCAUGGAUGCAAAAACCAAGCCAGAAAAGUUAUAUAAUUUGUCCGAGGUCAAGUAAUGAAUCUACAGCAUCCUCAUCCACUAAGUUCUCUCUGCUUUUCCUCUCUACUGACUGAUUGACCCCAGGGAGUCUGGGCACGUUGAAAUCAUCUCUGCCAUUUCCAAUCAGGAUCAAACGCAACUACCAACGAAAAAGAAAAACCAACUGGAGAAAAAAGGAAACAAUGAUUUUUAGCCUACUACUUGUCAGAAAGGGCGCAUGGGAAGCAGAUGGUUGUCAUCCGGCACAGAAUGACUCCAGAUGACUGUACAGUUCCCGAGUUGAGCCAGAGGAAGCUCAGACCCAGCUGGCUGUGGACGGACACUCAGUGAAACCUGUGACCCACCUUGAGUCCGAGUGCUUAAGAGGCAGCAGCAUGCUCCUGAGGAGGAGGAUCCUUGACAAAAGAAAGGUGAAAGUCAUGGAGAUAACCCUCCUGUACCUUGAAGAGCUUCCAUCUCUCCUGGAGAGUUCCCUUCCAGGGCUAAAACCUGGAAUUCCAGCCCCCUGGUACCUAGUUGCAUAUUCUUCGUUGUGGGUCCUUCUAGUUGUGGCAUGUGGGAUGCUGCCUCAGCGUGGUCUGAUGAGCAGUGCCAUGUCCACGCCCAGGAUUCGAACCAACGAAACACUGGGCCGCCUGCAGCGGAGCACGCGAACUUAACCACUCGGCCACGGGGCCGGCCCCUUAAGGAGACUUUCAAAUGUAUCAAAUGUUUAGGAAAUUGUGAAUUCUUUUUUUCUUAUGCUAACUGCUGACUUGUGUUGGGGAGAAAGGACAGAAAAGAGCAGGCAGAAUUUUACCUAAAGCAGAACACAGUUACUUUGCUAGCAUUUACUUGAAUUGUUGACAUUUUG